AGAGUUUGAUCAUGGCUCAGGACGAACGCUGGCGGCGUGCUUAACACAUGCAAGUCACGGGGGUCCGCAAGGGCAACCGGCGAACGGGUGCGUAACACGUGAGCAACCUACCUCGAUGUGGGGGAUAGCCGGCCCAACGGCCGGGUAAUACCGCAUACGAUUCUUUGGGGGAGUCCCCAGGGAAGGAAACCUCCGGGGCAUUGAGAGGGGCUCGCGGCCUAUCAGCUAGUUGGCGAGGUAACGGCUCACCAAGGCGACGACGGGUAGCUGGUCUGAGAGGAUGGCCAGCCACAUUGGGACUGAGAGACGGCCCAGACUCCUACGGGAGGCAGCAGUGGGGAAUCUUGCGCAAUGGCCGAAAGGCUGACGCAGCGACGCCGCGUGUGGGAUGAAGCAUUUCGGUGUGUAAACCACUGUUGCCCGGGACGAACAGCUUCUUUCGAGGAGCCUGACGGUACCGGGUGAGGAAGCACCGGCUAACUCCGUGCCAGCAGCCGCGGUAAUACGGAGGGUGCGAGCGUUGUCCGGAAUCACUGGGCGUAAAGGGCGCGUAGGCGGCGCGGAUAGUCAACGGUGAAAGCUUGGGGCUCAACCCCGAGUCGGCCGUCGAUACUUCCGCGCUUGAGCACUGUAGAGGCAGGUGGAAUUCCGGGUGUAGCGGUGGAAUGCAGAGAUCCGGAAGAACACCGGUGGCGAAGGCGGCCUGCUGGGCAGUAGCUGACGCUGAGGCGCGACAGCGUGGGGAGCAAACAGGAUUAGAUACCCUAGUAGUCC
RNAcentral lists this ribosomal RNA (774 nucleotides) under uncultured bacterium. Its description in RNAcentral is "bacterial SSU rRNA". It matches the Rfam family "Bacterial small subunit ribosomal RNA", at positions 8 to 796 of the family's 1533-position model. The record is from RNAcentral.